Molecule: ribosomal RNA, 402 nt
Filed under: bacterium
Lineage: Bacteria
Also listed under: 1 other name
Description: partial 16S ribosomal RNA
Rfam family: Bacterial small subunit ribosomal RNA
Source: RNAcentral
UGGGGAAUUUUGCACAAUGGGGGAAACCCUGAUGCAGCGACGCCGCGUGAUUUAGAAGGCCUUCGGGUUGUAAAAAUCUUUUCUAUGGGAAGAAAAUGACAGUACCAUAGGAAUAAGGACCGGCUAAUUACGUGCCAGCAGCCGCGGUAAUACGUAAGGUCCGAGCGUUGUCCGGAAUCAUUGGGCGUAAAGGGUACGUAGGCGGGUAAGCAAGUUAGAAGUGAAAUCCUAUAGCUCAACUAUAGUAAGCUUUUAAAACUGCUCAUCUUGAGGUAUGGAAGGGAAAGUGGAAUUCCUAGUGUAGCGGUGAAAUGCGCAGAUAUUAGGAGUAAUACCGGUGGCGAAGGCGACUUUCUGGCCAUAACCUGACGCUGAGGUACGAAAGCGUGGGUAGCAAACAGG